Non-coding RNA from Solanum lycopersicum (tomato), 648 nucleotides. The record is from RefSeq and is a predicted model, not a curated record. NCBI's taxonomy places the organism in Eukaryota, Viridiplantae, Streptophyta, Magnoliopsida, Solanales, Solanaceae.
UAAUUUAAUUAAUUAAUAUGUAAUUGGUGAUUUAAGAAAUAGGAAAAAAAUUCAGAUUUUUCUUUAUAAAUUGUUGAUUAGUCCUAAUUUGACUGAGUCUCUCCCUAAUCUCGUACUUUUAAGACAAUACUUCCUCACGUUUCUCUCUCUCUCUUUCUCUGAUUCACGAUCUCUCAAUCACCAAAAGAAAAAAAACAGAACGUGAAUGAUAAAGUUAAUCAAGAACAUGCAAGCUAUAAACUGAAAAUCAAAAUAAUAUGAAAAAUGAAAAGUAAAAAAUCAAUUUCUCGAAGAUUUUGCUUUUUGUUUCGAUAAUGAAACUUUUGCUUGGUGGGAAAUAGGCAGCACGAUUGAAUCAUCUUUUGAACAACUUCAGGUUCCUACCUUUGAGCUUUUAGAGGGCCAUCGAAGAAUACUUUGAUUUAUUCUCCAUGUUCAGUAGCUCUUCACUUUUCGAGGACGAUGCCACUACGUCUCUAUUGGAUAUUGUUUAGUCUAAAAGUCACUUUUGUUCAUUCUCUUUAAUUUGAAGACUAAGCUUGUAUAUGCCUAUAUGUGGCUUUUAUUGUAAUGAAGUACUACAGGCUAUUACCAAUGUUGUAAUCAUUCUUGUUUUUAUUAUAUGAAGUAUCAUAGACUUUUUAUAAA